RNAcentral lists this transfer RNA (73 nucleotides) under Ovis aries (sheep). It matches the Rfam family "tRNA". Rfam says of the family: Transfer RNA (tRNA) molecules are approximately 80 nucleotides in length. Their secondary structure includes four short double-helical elements and three loops (D, anti-codon, and T loops). Lineage: Eukaryota; Metazoa; Chordata; Mammalia; Artiodactyla; Bovidae. The record is from Rfam by way of RNAcentral.
UCCCUGAUAGCUCAGUUGGUAAAGAAUCUGCCUGCAAUGCAGAAGACCCCAAUUCAGUUUCUGGGUCGGGAAG